This 255-nucleotide ribosomal RNA is filed under the name uncultured bacterium. Its description in RNAcentral is "partial 16S ribosomal RNA". It matches the Rfam family "Bacterial small subunit ribosomal RNA", at positions 526 to 779 of the family's 1533-position model. The record is from RNAcentral.
CGUAUGGUGCAAGCGUUAUCCGGAUUUACUGGGUGUAAAGGGAGCGUAGACGGAUGGGGCAAGUCUGAUGUGAAAACCCGGGGCUCAACCCCGGGACUGCAUUGGAAACUGUUCAUCUAGAGUGCUGGAGAGGUAAGUGGAAUUCCUAGUGUAGCGGUGAAAUGCGUAGAUAUUAGGAGGAACACCAGUGGCGAAGGCGGCUUACUGGACAGUAACUGACGUUGAGGCUCGAAAGCGUGGGGAGCAAACAGGAUU